Molecule: transfer RNA, 72 nt
Filed under: Camelus bactrianus (Bactrian camel)
Lineage: Eukaryota; Metazoa; Chordata; Mammalia; Artiodactyla; Camelidae
Also listed under: 2 other names
Rfam family: tRNA
About the family: Transfer RNA (tRNA) molecules are approximately 80 nucleotides in length. Their secondary structure includes four short double-helical elements and three loops (D, anti-codon, and T loops).
Source: Rfam by way of RNAcentral
GAGGGUAGAGCUCAGUGCUAGAGCACGUGCUUGGCGCGCACGCGGUCCUGGGUUCCAUCUCCAGUACCUCCA